CCUACGGGUGGCAGCAGUGAGGAAUAUUGGUCAAUGGACGAGAGUCUGAACCAGCCAAGUAGCGUGAAGGCUGACUGCCCUCUGGGUUGUAAACUUCUUUUAUAUGGGAAUAAAACGUUCCACGUGUGGGAUUUUGUAUGUACCAUAUGAAUAAGGAUCUGCUAACUCCGUGCCAGCAGCCGCGGUAAUACGGAGGAUCCGAGCGUUAUCCGGAUUUAUUGGGUUUAAAGGGAGCGUAGGUGGAUUGUUAAGUCAGUUGUGAAAGUUUGCGGCUCAACCGUAAAAUUGCAGUUGAAACUGGCAGGCGUGAGUACAGUAGAGGUGGGCGGAAUUAGUGGGGUAGAGGUGAAAUGCUUAGAUAUCACGAAGAACUCCGAUUGCGAAGGCAGUUCACUGGACUGCAACUGACACUGAGGCUCAAAAGUGUGGGUAUCAAACAGGAGUAGAUACCCUAGUAGUC
This 460-nucleotide ribosomal RNA is filed under the name uncultured bacterium. Its description in RNAcentral is "partial 16S ribosomal RNA". It matches the Rfam family "Bacterial small subunit ribosomal RNA", at positions 338 to 795 of the family's 1533-position model. The record is from RNAcentral.